Molecule: ribosomal RNA, 253 nt
Filed under: uncultured bacterium
Lineage: Bacteria
Description: partial 16S ribosomal RNA
Rfam family: Bacterial small subunit ribosomal RNA
Source: RNAcentral
GACGGAAGGUGCAAGCGUUGCUCGGAAUCACUGGGCGUAAAGGGUGCGUAGGCGGCUGUGCAAGUCUGGCGUGAAAGCCCCGGGCUCAGCCCGGGAAGUGCGCUCGAAACUGCACGGCUCGAGUGCCGGAGGGGAGAGUGGAAUUCCUGGUGUAGCGGUGAAAUGCGUAGAUAUCAGGAGGAACACCGGUGGCGAAGGCGGAUCUCUGGGCCUUACCUGACGCUGAGGCGCGAAAGCUAGGGGAGCAAACAGG